This 253-nucleotide ribosomal RNA is filed under the name uncultured bacterium. RNAcentral describes it as "partial 16S ribosomal RNA". It matches the Rfam family "Bacterial small subunit ribosomal RNA", at positions 524 to 776 of the family's 1533-position model. The record is from RNAcentral.
UACAGGGGGUGCAAACGUUGCUCGGAAUUAUUGGGCGUAAAGCGCACGUAGGCGGUUCGUUAUGUCAGAUGUGAAAGCCCUUGGCUCAACUGAGGAAGUGCAUCUGAAACUGGCGAGCUAGAGUAUGUAAGAGGGUCGCGGAAUUCCCGGUGUAGAGGUGAAAUUCGUAGAUAUCGGGAGGAACACCGGUGGCGAAGGCGGCGACCUGGGACAAUACUGACGCUGAGGUGCGAAAGCGUGGGGAGCAAGCAGG